UGCCCAAAUCAAAGGCAGAUGAUUGGCUGC
This 30-nucleotide non-coding RNA is filed under the name Homo sapiens (human). The record is from RNAcentral. Lineage: Eukaryota; Metazoa; Chordata; Mammalia; Primates; Hominidae.